Chenopodium quinoa (quinoa) is the source of this 3261-nucleotide long non-coding RNA. RefSeq lists it as uncharacterized. NCBI's taxonomy places the organism in Eukaryota, Viridiplantae, Streptophyta, Magnoliopsida, Caryophyllales, Amaranthaceae. The transcript is spliced from 2 exons. The record is from RefSeq and is a predicted model, not a curated record.
CUGCCUUUGGGCAUGAAUUGCUAAAGCCUUAUUAUGCCAACUAUCAUAUUUUAGUACGAAGUGUGCUAUGGAUGGUUAAUUCUUUCAUAUUUAAUGUUUCCCUUUUGUUUGUCAUGUUAAGUCCACAUAAACUGUCCAAACAUUUUGAUGCAUCAUGAAAGACUUCCACUUCCCCCCCCUCCCCGCCCCUCCCUUUUUUUUUUCCUUGAUAAUGUCAUACAUUAUUAUUUCCUUGCUUUCUGAUGCCACACCAACUAAUAGAUUCCUGAGUAGAUCAUUACCCACACCCUUUGUAUGGGCAUUCUUCUUGAGCAUAAAUGGUUUCUUAGUCUUUGUCCUUUGAGCUGGUUGUGUAAUAACUGAUAUAUAAUCAGAAAUUUAAAAAGCAAUUGCUACAAGUGAGGACCAGAUUAGUUAUGAAAGAAAAAUGUGUAUAUUUUUUUUUUGUUACAUGCCUUUUCCCCAUAGUUAAUAAUGAAGAAAUAAGUUGUGCAUCAUAAUUUUGUAAUAGAACAUGGAAAGUUGUUCUACACUUAUACUGAUGAUAAAUUUACUUGACUGGAAUCGGAAGCUGCACUAAUUCUUUGAUAUACAAUCUGAAAUAAUACAAGUUUGGCUCUAUCACAGACCUGAAUUAUUAGAUGGUUUUACUGGAGAGAAUAAAACUACUAUAUACGUCCUUUGUGUCUCAUAUGUCAUUUUUUGGUACUCUGUCUAGCUGUUAUUGCAGUCCUCUUCUUGUGAGGGGGUAGGGUAAUAGUGUUUAAUCAAAUGACUGUUCCCAUAUAUGUUGAGAAUUUUUAGGUAUAUUUACGUUACUAACUACUAAACUGUGCACUAGAUGGGGCAUGGAAUGCGUGGGGUAUUCAUGAGACCCUAUUGUUCAAAUUGUACUGAAUAAAAGUUAACUGACUAAAACACUAAUUAGUACCCUGUGGGUUCUUUUUAUUUUUUUACACAGUUCUGUUUUUUCCUUUAUGGGUAGCAUGCCCCCAUUUCUUUUGUCUGAAAGUUUUGUUGAAUAUCAAGUGCCAAGUCUCCAAUAUGAAAGUUCUUACUUUGUUGGGGAAAGUAGAAACCACUUUAUACGAAAUUUAGCAUAUUGCUGUUGGCGAGAUUCAAGGUUUGGAACACUAUACUAAAAAGCAUCAAGCAUCUGAGGUUUUCCAACAACCUAAGAAAGAUUAUUGUGAGAAUUAGAUACUAUGGUCUUCAGAUAUCGAUAAUUAGUUACAUGGGCGUUCAUUCACUUUCAGUGUACUGAUUCAAGCUAAGGCUACUGAAAAGGUAAUAAGUAUUAAGGGUUAUACAUUAUUCUCCUAAUUUGGAAAAACUUCUAUCUUCCAAGCUUAUUAUCUCUAUGCUUUUGUCGGUAUGCUUUUCUGUCAAAUAUUAGACCAAAUUUUGAACUUGCACUGAUUGAACUUCUCUCAGAUGAAAGAUGUUGAUUGGUCUCUCACUUUUUUACUAACCAAAAUGAGGAUGGUUCAUAAGUUCAUUGAGUUUACUUUGGCGUGCAAAAGGAGCUAUUUCUUUUUGUAGGAUCACUGUAAUAUCUUAUUCAGUUUAACUGCUUGAUUUUUUUGGCUUGAAAACUCCAAUUAUGAGUCUAUAAUGGCUAAUGGGUGUGGAUUUUGGGAUUCUUACCCUUGCAUUUCUGAUUGUGAUGGCUACAGACUUCAAUAUGUGUGGUUAGCAAUGUAGCAUUGAGACUGUAAUUGGAUGAUACCUUGCAAUUGAGUGGCAUCCUAAAAUGCCCCUUUUUUCUUGGGGGUCUGUAGGAAAUGUAUAAUCUGGAGCAUAUCAGGCUGCUUUUGAAAAAUAUUUCUGAAUCGUCCUUCCUUUUUUUUUUAGCUUGUUUCAGAUGUAUAAUGUCACUUAUGAAGUCAUGAGUAUUGUUCAGCAAAAUUUGUCUGCAUAUUACAGUCUUGAUGGUUUUGGUGUCAAUAGGAUCUCAGAUUUCUUGAAGUUCUAGCUACUGUUUAUCACGGUGAUAUAAGCUGAGUGUCAGAAUUCUUAGAUUAAUUUACUCACACGUUUUUAUCACUACUACUCCUUAAUUUUAUUCUUGGUAAUCUUUUUAGACUCUUAAAUUUUACAAUUUUUACUUGGAUGCUCUUUCUUUGUCGGACGGUUCCUUAUAAUGAUUCAUGUUAGCCGACCCCAAAUCAUUUUGGGACUAAGGCGUUGUUCAAUUUUUUCUUGUAUAAAGGCUCCCUAAUAUUUUUAUCAAUUUUUUCUUGGAUAAAGGCUCUAUAUCUUUUCCAUUAAUGUUGUCACACAUUCGUGUUAAAUGGGUGCGUAGUACUUCUAAGGUAGUGUUUGACUUUGAAUGGUGUUUUUUUUAUUUUUUUUUAUUUUUUUUUUAUUUUUUUUAUAAUUAUUUUCAAUAGCUAUGCUUCUGUCAGCCUGACAGAUAGUGUCUCAAUAUGUAUUACAGCGGCUGAAGUAAAUCAUUGAGCUUACAUUAUAUUUAACUGUAGAGAUGUUUCUUUAGCUCAGACCAUCUCCAAGUCCUUUUUGUUGCUGAUGUUUCUCUGAAAUUGAUUCUUCAAGCUGAAUGUGCUCUUUUUCAAUGGUAUGUUGUGUCGUGCAGGAUUCUUCCUGUCAAGGAAACAUUUGGUUGUGAGAUUCUUAUGGAAGUUAUUCAACAGAGAUGAUUUGGUGGAGGGAGGCAGGAAUUAUUGGAUUAAUGACGUGACAUUGGUGGGGUUCACAUCAUUUGAAGUUUCUGCACCCCAACACAGCUCAUUGAAAUCAAAGGAGGUAUAGAUGUUGGUAUGUAAAAUUCGGAGGCAAAUGACAUAAGAAACUAAAUUUACGAGUAUGAAAUUAGAAACUGAAGACAACUGUAUCAGCAAAUGAGAUAAAAUUUGGCAUGCCAAAGGUUUUUACAUGGCAUUGUUGCUGCUCUAGUGAUAUUACUGCAUGCCUGCACUCAAGUCACAACGUCGUCUGCAGCCACCCAUAGUCCCAUACCCACAACCACACCCUUACUGCCUCAACCACCCACCUUCGUUUGGGCCUCGACCAUUAUUAUUUACUCCCUCUGUUUUUAUUAAGGAUGACGAUUAUUUUCUUUUUUUCUUUAUUUUUUUUUAUGUUCCACGUCGACUAUGAGUUGGUGAGAAACUAGUAAGUAGUAACUACUGUAGAUGGAAAAUUAUUUGGGGGGUUGUGUCACUUGUUGUUUGGACAUGAUUGUUAAACCAGAAUUAACGAGGUUUGAAUUAUACUUGUCUCUUUGAAUUUUGAAUUUGA